Molecule: long non-coding RNA, 302 nt
Organism: Onychostoma macrolepis
Lineage: Eukaryota; Metazoa; Chordata; Actinopteri; Cypriniformes; Cyprinidae
Exons: 4
Source: RefSeq, a predicted model, not a curated record
UGCAGAUCACAAAAACACAAUAUUUAGUGGUAAUACAGCUCAAGUUUAAAUGAAAGUUGGAAAAAGGAUCAUGCAGCUGACAUCAUUUCCUUGGAGGGAAAACAGCUGGGGAAGUAUUUACAAGGAAGAAGAUUACAAAGUGAGGUCCAGCUCACAAUCUGUGCAAACUUGGGAUGCCAGCGAUUUCAACACUGGCAAUUAUAGUCUUAUCUAUCUUCGGAGACAGUCCAGUUUCCAGGUCUUCAUCUUCAUCCACACCAGUGCAGACCCCCUCUUCUGAAGAACCAGCACAUACAUAAGAG